RNAcentral lists this ribosomal RNA (552 nucleotides) under uncultured bacterium. RNAcentral's name for it is "bacterial SSU rRNA". It matches the Rfam family "Bacterial small subunit ribosomal RNA", at positions 415 to 982 of the family's 1533-position model. The record is from RNAcentral.
CCUUCGGGUUGUAAACCUCUUUUCUCGAGGAAGAAUUCUGACGGUACUCGAGGAAUAAGCCUCGGCUAACUACGUGCCAGCAGCCGCGGUAAUACGUAGGAGGCGAACGUUAUUCGGAUUUACUGGGCGUAAAGGGAGCGUAGGCGGCUCCUCAAGUCAGGUGUGAAAUCUUUUGACUCAAUCAGAAGGCGUCAUCUGAUACUAAGGGGCUUGAGGGCAGCAGAAGGAAAUGGAAUCCUCAGUGUAGCGGUGAAAUGCGUAGAUAUUGGGGAGAACACCAGUGGCGAAGGCGAUUUCCUAGGCUGUUUCUGACGCUGAGACUCGAAAGCGUGGGGAGCGAAGCGGAUUAGAUACCCGCGUAGUCCACGCCCUAAACGGUGGACACUAGAUAUAGGAGGUAUCGACCCUUUCUGUGUCGAAGCUAACGCUUUAAGUGUCCCGCCUGGGGAGUACGGCCGCAAGGCUAAAACUCAAAGGAAUUGACGGGGGCCCGCACAAGCAGCGGAGCGUGUGGUUUAAUUCGAUGCUACGCGAAGAACCUUACCAGGGCUU